Molecule: ribosomal RNA, 478 nt
Filed under: uncultured bacterium
Lineage: Bacteria
Description: partial 16S ribosomal RNA
Rfam family: Bacterial small subunit ribosomal RNA
Source: RNAcentral
GACGAACGCUGGCGGCGUGCUUAACACAUGCAAGUCGAGCGAUGAAGUUCCUUCGGGAAUGGAUUAGCGGCGGACGGGUGAGUAACACGUGGGCAACCUGCCUCAUAGAGGGGAAUAGCCUUUCGAAAGGAAGAUUAAUACCGCAUAAGAUUGUAGUAUCGCAUGAUACAGCAAUUAAAGGAGUAAUCCGCUAUGAGAUGGACCCGCGUCGCAUUAGCUAGUUGGUGAGGGAACGGCUCACCAAGGCGACGAUGCGUAGCCGACCUGAGAGGGUGAUCGGCCACAUUGGGACUGAGACACGGCCCAGACUCCUACGGGAGGCAGCAGUGGGGAAUAUUGCACAAUGGGGGAAACCCUGAUGCAGCAACGCCGCGUGAGUGAUGACGGUCUUCGGAUUGUAAAACUCUGUCUUCAGGGACGAUAAUGACGGUACCUGAGGAGGAAGCCACGGCUAACUACGUGCCAGCAGCCGCGGUAA